Nannospalax galili (Upper Galilee mountains blind mole rat) is the source of this 3599-nucleotide RNA transcript. It is a transcript of the gene named inturned planar cell polarity protein, with no coding region annotated. The record is from RefSeq and is a predicted model, not a curated record. NCBI's taxonomy places the organism in Eukaryota, Metazoa, Chordata, Mammalia, Rodentia, Spalacidae. The transcript has 17 exons.
UCCGGGCAAGAUGGCGGCGCAGAGGGCUGACGCUGGAGUUUUAAGUCUCUACCCUCCGAGCUCGGAGACCCAGACUACUGAGGCCCCGGCGUGGCGAGACUCGCGUGGGCGGUCUGCCGAGCUCCGCGAAGAUCUCUCCUCACAGGAAGAGGAGGAGGGCGACUCGGACACCGGAGCCAGCGGCUCGGGUUCCUGCACCUCUGGGAGCAGCGACGCUGAUCUGGAGCCUGAAUGGCUAGACAGUGUGCAGAGAAAUGGAGAACUGUUUUAUCUGGAAUUGAGUGAGGAUGAGGAAGAAAGCCUCCUUCCUGAGACACCAAUUGUGAACCACGUCAGGUUCAGUGAGAACGAGAUCAUCAUUGAAGCUGAUGAUUACCAAGAAAGAAAAAAGUAUGAACCCACACUCAAGCGCUUUACCAAGAUUUUGAAAAGUAAAAGACUUUUACCUAAGCGCUACAACAAAAAGAACAGCAAAGACGAUGGGCCUGUGUCUAUUCUAAAACAUCAUUCCAACCAGAAGACAGGGAUCACUGUCCAACAGCAGUACAAAGAUGUGAAUGUUUAUAUCAACCCCAAAAAGCUAACCAUCAUGAAAGGCAGGGAGCAGCUCAAACUCCUGGAAGUGCUGGUGGGAAUAAUCCAUCAGAAGAAGUGGAGCUGGAGGAGAGGUGGCAAGCAGGCUGAGGGAGAGAGGCUUGUGGUGCAUGGCCUGUUGCCUGGAGGCUCUGCUUUGAAGAGUGGUCAGGUGCUGAUUGGUGAUGUCCUUGUUGCUGUCAAUGAUGUAGAUGUGACUUCUGAAAACAUAGAGAGAGUUUUGUCUUGUAUCCCUGGGCCAAUGCAGGUGAAACUGACAUUUGAAAAUGCGUAUGCAGUAAAAAAGGAAACAACUCAACCAAGAAAGAAAAAAGCACAGUCCAACAAGAAUGAUGUAGUCAAAUUCCUGUGUGGGGAAGAGGCUGAAGGCAUCCAGCACAGUAUCCUGGGCACCCCACACAUUACCAUGUAUCUCACACUGCAGCUUGACUCAGAGGCCUCCAAGGAGGAGCAAGAAAUUCUUUACCAUUACCCAAUGACUGAGGCAUCUCAAAAGCUCAAGAGUGUGAGGGGGAUUUUUCUCACACUCUGUGACAUGCUGGAAAAUGUAACUGGGACACAAGUAACUAGCUCAUCCCUCCUUUUAAAUGAGAAACAAAUUCAUGUUGCUUACUUGAAGGAAUCUGACAAGUUGUUGUUAAUUGGCCUUCCUGCUGCAGACGUUCCUCUUCCCCAGCUAAGGAAUAUGAUAGAAGAAGUUGCACAAACCUUAAAAUUUAUGUAUGGUUCUUUAGAUAGUGCCUUUUGCCAGAUCGAGAAUGUUCCUCGUUUGGAUCAUUUCUUCAGCUUAUUCUUUCAGAGGGCACUUCAGCCUGCUAAACUACAUCCCAGCCCCAGCCCCAGUGCUCAACAGUAUGAUGCAGCCAGCGCUGUGCUUUUAGACAGCCUCCCUGCAGUUCGUUGGCUCACACUUCCACAGGAAAUCAAGAUGGAUUUGGACACAGCAUUAAGUGACCUUGAGGCUGCAGAUUUUGCAGAGCUGUCUGAAGAUUAUUAUGACAUGAGACGGCUGUAUACAAUUUUGGGGUCUUCUCUAUUUUACAGGGGUUAUUUGGUGUGCAGCCAUUUGCCUAAGGAUGAUCUUGUUGAGAUUGCUAUAUACUGUCGACACUAUUGCCUGCUACCUUUAGCAGCAAAGCAAAGAAUUGGUCAGCUGAUAAUAUGGAGAGAAGUCUUUCCUAGGUAUCACCUCCAGCCUUCCACAAGCUCAGACACUGAGGUAUUUCAGGAACCUGAAGGAAGAUAUUUUUUACUGAUUGUCGGAUUGAGACAUUAUAUGUUGUGUGUGCUGUUAGAAGCUGGAGGCUGCACAUCCAAAGCUACUGGGAAUCCUGGUCCAGAUUGUAUAUAUGUGGAUCAGGUCAGAACAACUCUUCAUCAGCUAGAAGGAGUAGAUUCACGCAUAGAUGAACAGCUAGCCACAUCUCCAGGGCCCUCUUUGUCUUCUGCUGACUGGUUCCUUGCUGUACCGCGUGAAAAAGCAGAUAGUCUGACCACUUCACCUGUCCUUAAUAGGCUUCAGGGGACUUCCAAAGCAGCAACCUCACCAACAUGCCGACGAGCCUUUUUUGGUGAUUAUUCCUUCAAGACACGGAAACCCAAUCCUUCCCAGAGCAGUGGAGGAUGGGAGCCUAGUUAUGAAGAUGAAGCCGGUGUUGGGCUUAGCCCACACACUACCCCAGAUGUGGUACAAAAGCAGAGAGAAUAUGAUGGCUCAGAAGAUAGUGGGGCUUUGCUUAAGGUCACUAAGAAGAAGUCGAUCCUUCCAAAUCCAUUUCAUUUGGGAAAUUUGAAAAGGGAACUUUCAGAAAAAGAAUUAGAAGUAUAUAACACAAUGAAAUUGACAUCUGGACCUGAGAAUACACUCUUCCACUAUGUUGCUUUAGAGACAGUGCAAGGCAUCUUCAUUGCUCCCACCCAUGAAGAGGUGGCACAGCUCAGCGGCUCCCUCCACUCUCAGCUAAUAAAGAAUUUCCAUCAGUGUUGUCUUUCCAUUCGUGCAAUUUUCCAACAGACAUUGGUGGAAGAGAAAAAUAAAGCACUAAAUGGUGAAGAUCAUUCCAAUUUUACAAGUUCAGCAUCUUCUCUCACCCCUGUGAAAGAACAUGGUGUCUUGUUUGAAUGCACACCUGAAAACUGGACUGACCAGAAAAAAGCACCGCCAGUUAUGGCUUACUGGGUAGUAGGGUCUCAAAAAGGAUGAUCUCAAAUCAUGACCCUUCUGCCCCAGUGUCCUGAGUGCCUGGAAUUGAAGGAGGCUCUUCCUUCACCCAAAACCUCAGGAACUUUAUGUUUGUUUUCAUGACUCCAUCACAGAAAUUGCCGUUGAAAUGGCAUUUAAAUUGUUCUUUGGAUUAAUGGUGUAGCUGUGUACAUGAGUAGAACAUGGAAGAGUGUCAGAACUGCUGAAAUUAAUACACAGAAAUAAAACUUAGCUUUUUUUUCACUGUUCAGUAUCGAGCAUCUAUGUCAGGUACUGAGAUGCAGUGCCACUGCAUUGACCAUCAGCUCAUAUUGUGUAAGACAUUUGAGGAAGACACUUGAUGAAAAUAAGAAGAAAAGAUAGUUAACUUAUUACAUUUGGCAAUGUUUAUUUAUUGACUACUUUGAAAUAAUGUGAAGUAUUUUAUAGAAAAUUAAUAUAGCAGAUGUUUAUUUGGGGAUUUUUAUUUGUCUCAAAACCAAUAUUGAUAUCUGGGGGGAGGAAUUAUGAAAUUGGAGAGAUAGUAAGAUUCUUUAACCAGUUAGCACUGCAAUAAGCAAGUACUUGCACCUCUCUGACUUCAGACUUUUCAUGUACAAAUAAGUUUACUUCAUUGAGGUUUUGAAAGUCCUAGUUAAGAAAAACGUGUUUCUUUUCCUGCUUAUUGGUCAGUAUCUAAAUUUAUAAUGUUUGCAUUCUGAUUGAUUUCUUAACACAUCAAGCCUUUUCAUUACUUUUUUAGCAGAUACCUCACUGUAGGGGGAAAAGGGGGGAGAUGAAAAUUAAACUUCAUUUGUGUUUC